CGGGACGGGUGAGUAACGCGUGGGUAACCUGCCCCAUACAGGGGGAUAACAGUUAGAAAUGACUGCUAAUACCGCAUAAGCGCACUGCAUCGCAUGAUGAAGUGUGAAAAACUGAGGUGGUAUGGGAUGGGCCCGCGUCUGAUUAGCCAGUUGGCGGGGUAACGGCCCACCAAAGCGACGAUCAGUAGCCGACCUGAGAGGGUGACCGGCCACAUUGGGACUGAGACACGGCCCAAACUCCUACGGGAGGCAGCAG
Molecule: ribosomal RNA, 256 nt
Filed under: uncultured bacterium
Lineage: Bacteria
Description: partial 16S ribosomal RNA
Rfam family: Bacterial small subunit ribosomal RNA
Source: RNAcentral